This 253-nucleotide ribosomal RNA is filed under the name uncultured bacterium. RNAcentral describes it as "partial 16S ribosomal RNA". It matches the Rfam family "Bacterial small subunit ribosomal RNA", at positions 524 to 776 of the family's 1533-position model. The record is from RNAcentral.
UACGAGGGGGGCAAGUGUUGUUCGGAAUCACUGGGCGUAAAGGGCGCGUAGGCGGAUGUUUAAGUUGGAUGUUUAAAACCGAGGCCUAACCUCGGAGCGGCAUCCAAAACUGGGCAUCUUGAAUAGGUCAGAGGCUGGUGGAAUUGGAGGUGUAGCGGUGGAAUGCGUAGAGAUCUCCAAGAACACCUAUUGCGAAGGCAGCCAGCUGGGACCAUAUUGACGCUGAGGCUCGAAAGCAUGGGGAGCAAACAGG